CUCCUACAUGUUAGCAUUAGCA
RNAcentral lists this microRNA (22 nucleotides) under Alligator mississippiensis (American alligator). RNAcentral describes it as "Ami-Mir-155_3p* (star (passenger))". The record is from RNAcentral. Lineage: Eukaryota; Metazoa; Chordata; Crocodylia; Alligatoridae.